Symphalangus syndactylus (siamang) is the source of this 430-nucleotide long non-coding RNA. RefSeq lists it as uncharacterized. NCBI's taxonomy places the organism in Eukaryota, Metazoa, Chordata, Mammalia, Primates, Hylobatidae. The record is from RefSeq and is a predicted model, not a curated record.
UCCCCUUCUGUCCCCCCAACACGGGGACGGGGCGGGCUGUCGGUCAGCGCCACCGCGCCCCCGCAUCAAGAUCCCCGGCGCUGACGUGCUCUUCCAGCGGGGAGGAGGGGCCCAGGACGCGCUAGGUCCGCAGCCAGUGCGGAGAAAGGGCCCUGGGCUCGGCUCCCAAGCUCAGGCAGGACUCCCGCCGGGGGUCGGAGCUGCGGUCACUCGCGGCUUCGGGGCCGUGGCGUCCCGCGCUCAGCUUCCGCGCCUCUGCAAGGCGCUCUGAAGAAAUGGAGGUGAACAGAGGAACAGCCACUCCCAGCAAGAAAGGGAAGAAGAAUCUUGAAAGCCUGUGACUUCACAGAGACUUCUUGGUUGAUGCCCCUGAAAUCAGCCUGCCAAGUGUGGCCUCUGCAGCAUAAAUACAAGGAGUCUGAUGAUACAA